Molecule: long non-coding RNA, 1433 nt
Organism: Herpailurus yagouaroundi (jaguarundi)
Lineage: Eukaryota; Metazoa; Chordata; Mammalia; Carnivora; Felidae
Exons: 2
Source: RefSeq, a predicted model, not a curated record
AGCAAAGGACAGUCAUUUCUAAGAAUGACCAUUAGUAAUACAAAGUACCGUUUGUGUCUGAAAAUAGCUCACCGCUUUGCUGGCAGCAACAUAAAGCAGUACAGCCUUGUAGGGGACACUUUGGGGAUGAUACAAAAGACUUAAAAACGUAUAUCCAGAAGAAUUUACCCUAAAGUAAUAAGCAAGGAUAUAAACCUAGAUUUAGCCAGAAGUGCUCAGCGAAGUACUAUUUAAAAUGGCAAAUAAUGAUGGCAUUGUUUAAUGCAUCCUCAAAAAAAGCUGACUACAUAAGUUGUUAUUCCCAGACAACAGAACGUCACAGUCAUUAAGAGGACACUGUCUAAAAACAGUAAAGGAUGGGGCACCCGGGUGACUUAGUGGGCUAAGCAUCGAACUCUUGGUUUUGGCUCAGGUCAUGAUCUCAUGGUUCAUGAGAAGCUUCUUGGUCAUAAAAGGCAAAGACAAGACCGAAGAAAUGCUCUAGAGUAGAGAUUAAGGAGACAUGGCAACCGAAAGCAGUGGGUGAUCCUGGGUCAGCAAAAAGACAUUGGUGGGAUAAGUGGCAAGAUUUGAAUAAGGUAUAGAUUCUAUAAUCUGUAAUGUAUUCUGUAAUCUAUAGAUUACCAUACUGUUGUCAAUUUUAAUUUCAUCAGGCUGAUAACUGAACAAUCUAGGUGAGGGGUUAUGGAAAUUCUUUGUACCAAUUUUGCAACUUUUGUGUACAUCUGAAGUUUCUUCAAAAUGAAAAGUAAAUAAAAUAUUUUUCAAUUUUUACACAAUCCCCCAGAAAUCUAAGAUGAAAUAUGAACAAGGACAUAACACAGCAAGUAAGAAAAAAAAAACAGUUGAGACAUGGGACAUGUAAAGAUUGUCUUCCAUUCUUCAAAACCAUCUGCUACAGUGAUGCACAAGUUAGCUGAAGCCAUCUCCGGGAAAUUCAGUGCUCCAAAGCUCAGGAAGUAGAAGUUAUGCAAAUGUGACAAGCUGCAUAAUUGUAGUGUGCAUUUCCAUAGGGUUUAAGAUAAAUUAGGAGACGGAUGAUAAUUUUCUAAAAAAUUGUAACUCUGCCUGGCCUUCUAUUUUCACCUCUCCCAAGUCAUAACAAAUUCCUACUCUUUGGAACUUACAUCUUUUACAUGUAAUAACUAAUGUAUUUAUUCAUUCAGUAUAUAUCUAAGAGGCCUCUACUGUGGACGAGGCUCUGUGCUAGGAACUCGUGGUAGAAUGUGAACCUGACGAGGUUCUUUCCUCCGGAAACUCACAGUUCACAACGAACAGAAUCGGGUAAAACCAACAAUGGUCAGCAUGAAGGAGAAAGGGCCGUGAUGCAGAAAUGGUGAUGCUGGGGGAGCAAACCUAUUUAAGCUGCUUGGUUCUGUGCUCCCUGUUGGCUGCCCUGGCAAAAACCUGAUGCCCGCCAAGCACACCUAAGG